Lynx canadensis (Canada lynx) is the source of this 4759-nucleotide long non-coding RNA. RefSeq lists it as uncharacterized. The record is from RefSeq and is a predicted model, not a curated record. The transcript is spliced from 4 exons. Lineage: Eukaryota; Metazoa; Chordata; Mammalia; Carnivora; Felidae.
ACUAGGCAGAAAUGCAGAUUCUCAGCCCCACCCAGACCUACCAAGUGGAAAUUCUGGGAGUGAGGCCCGGCCGCUGGGCUUUUAAGAGAACCCCUCUGAUGGGUGUUGAGUCAGGAAGGGUUGACAUCUUGAUGAGUUUAGAAGUACCUGUGGUGGUGACACUGAUGUGAGUGAGGUGUGUUCACACCUGUGGGGAUGAUCCUGGUGUGGCUGUUUGUGGGCAAAGGCUAGGAGCGUGGGAGCCCUGCUUGCGAAGAUCUGCUUCGCCUAUUGUUAACGUCGCACCCGUUGCCUUAUCAUAAGGUGUUUUCUGGAGCAUCUGAACCAGACAGCAUACUUCUUCAGAUGAUGCAGCGGCAAGGGUCCUGCUGUGUGUUGUUUUCCCUGAUCAGUGAUGAGUCUCCUGAGAGCCCAGGGACCUUCCCAAAGGUGCAGUGCAGGUGUGAGGUCACAGCAGCCCGUGAGGUUCAGGCGGCUGCCAGCUCUCUCCCAGAGGACCCACCUUGCAAGAAGGUCUGGAGGGGCUUCAAGAAGGAAAAGGCACCUUUUAAAUGUUGCCUGCCUGCCCCCAGGUGAUUUGAGGAGAAAAAGAAUUCCAUUCAGUUUCCUCAUUUUGUUUGAGUUUGCAGAUUCAGAAGUGAGGAUGUUUCCAUUUAAAAGAAAUAGGGUCUUUCAUUUGUUUUACUGCAUAUGGACUCAUAAAAAGUGCUAUAAUUCUUUAAGGACAAAAUACAAGUGUGGUGUCAGGAAGCAUCCGGGCCCCUAGGUAAAUCUGCAGUCGGCCCUGCAUGAUGAAGGGAUGUAAUAAAAUAUGUAAUUGGUGUUAGGGAAAACAUCCUGAAGGAGAGGAAGUUGAAGUUCAGCAGACCCACCCCUCCGGGAAUUAGAAGGGACACCCAUCUGUCAGGUUGAAGACCAGCAAGGGGUUGGAGAUGUAAAUGUGAUCAGGAAAACUAAGAUAAGGAAACAGUUCCUUGUGUUUGCAUGUGGUGCUGUAACCUGAGACAGGUGAGGCAUAGCUGCUAUUUCCCCUUUACAGCGACGUCAAAUGACUGUGGUGCUGGUGGUCAUGACCUUUGAAUGGCUAUUCGUGUAUUCAUUCACUAAAUCUUUAUUGAGCAUGUACUGUGUGCUGGGCCCUAUUGUAUACAGUAGUUGACAAAGCAGACAAAACUCUGCCUUCGUGGAGCUGACCUCCUAGUGGGGAAGGCAGAUAAUAAUGUAAUAAUAGGGAUAAAUCAGUAAAUUAUGUGCCAUAUUCCAUGUUUUCUUCAGAAGUCCUGAGGACACGGCAACAGAGGGGAGCUGGUUUAAAUUGUAAACAGGGUGGCUACGUGGGUUUGAAGAGAAGGGUGGUGUGACCCGGGUGACCCUGGCUGCUGUGUUGAGGAUAGACUGAAUUAUGAGUCGGGCACGGAAUUAGGUCUGUACAAGCUCGUGGGGCAUCUUUACGGUGACCACAGGGCAGAUGUGAGGCUCAGAGGUGGCAGUGAAUGUGCUUACGGUCGCAGAGCUGGUAAGUGCCAACAACCCUCCAUCGUGGAGGAGCCCAAACAUGUGAAGGAGGUGUGUGGUUGACACCUGUCUUUGGGACAGCAGUGCAUUGAGAUUUGGAUGAAGGAAGGAUCAGCCAAGUGUCUGCACAGAGCAGAACGAAUGUGAAAGUCUUGCUCUGUGGAUAGGGAGGUCUGAAAAGUUUCUUGGGAGCCAAGGAAUUAUCAGCGCCACAAAGUUAGAAUGCAUACAACAUUGCAUUCAUUGCAUUGCAUGCAAACAGGGGAGUUUCCUUUAUUCAGUGCGAGGUCUUUACUGUUGAGAGGCUGUGUGUGUAUGGUGGUGAAGAGAACAGACUGUGGAAUGAACGGUGUGAAUUCAGAUCCCAGCUCCACCAUUUAAUAGCUGUGUGACUGCAGGUAAGUUAUCUGACUUCUCUUUGCCUUGGUUCUGUAAUCUGCAAAAUGGGAAUAAUAUAUGAACCUAAACAUGUUUUUACCAUACGGUCCUGUGGUCGUGGUCCUUGGUGUUUGCCCACGGGAGCUGAAAAACCCAUGCCCGCACAAACAUCUGCACACAGAUGUGUACGCAGCUGUAUUCAUAAUUGCCAAGCCUUGGUAGCAAGUAGAAUAUCCUUCAGCAGGCGGCUGGAUAAGCAGACCGUGGUCCGUCCAGAUAAUAGAAUAUUACUCAGCACUAAGAAGAAACGGACUGCUGGCCACAGAACAUGUGGAGAAGCCUUAAAUGUGUGUCACUAAGUGGAAGAAGCCAAUCUGAAAAGGCCACAUACUGUAUGAUUCCAAUUACUUGACAUUCUGGAAAAGGUAAAUCUGUGGGCAUGGUGAACAGAUCAGGAGUUGCUGGGGUGGGGGUAGGGGUGACUGAAUGGGGCAUGGAGGAUUUCCAGGGCAGUGAAGAUUCUCUGUGUGAUCCCAUAAUGACAGAUACGUGUCCUUAUACAUUUGCCCAAAUCCGUAGAAUGUCCACCACCUGGAGUGGUGCCUUAGGCAAGCCGUACAUCUGGGUGACGAUGACGUGUCCGUGUGGGCUCAUCGGUUGUAGCGAAGGUGCUGUCUGCUGGGGGUGUCGACAGUGGAGGCCGUGCACGUGCGGGUGGGACAGGGGUGUGCAGGGAUUCUCUGUGCCUUCCACGUAGUUUUGCCGUGAACCUAAAACUGCCCUAAUAAUAAACUGUGUUUCUGAUUGGAGUAAUGGUAGUACUUCCCAAAUGGUGUAGUGGUGAGGGCUCCGAGUUACAACAAACAAGGCACUUGGAACGGUGCCUGGCUGGAGUCAGCCUACGUGUUUAUUAUUACUAACAGAUUAUUCACAAGCAUGAAAGUGUUUAUGUAGCUGUCCUGUGUUCACUCAUAUACUUGGAAAUGUCUAUUUUUGCCCACACAGACUUAAAUUUCCAGCCUCAAAUUCUUCUACCAUGAUUGCUGUGUAGAAGGUAAUCCGUUGACACGUUUCUUUAAUGUGGGCAGAGAGCCUCUUACGUCAGGAGGAGCUGGACGGAGUGUGGGCGGAUAACGUGUUCCGUUCCUCAGACAUCCUGAGGGUGGGCCGCGGACUUGCACUUCCCACGGGCGCCCGAGAGUACUCCGAGCCCCAGAGCAGGGGAGAAAAUUGAGGCUGAAAAUGGUUCCUGUGGCCAGCAAUGAACAGAGUCAAGGUUUUUGUUUGUUUGUUUGUUUGUUUGUUUGUUUUAAAUAUGAAAUUUAUCGUCAAAUUGGUUUCCAUACACCCGGCGUUCAUCCCAACAGGUGCCUUCCUCAAUGCCCAUGACCCACUUUCCACUCUGUCCCACCCAAGAGUCAAGGUUUAAACACAGAACUUGUGACUGCACAGGAUGGUCUGGCCUAGUUGAGCUGUAUGUAAUUGGUCAGCAGUUCCUCUAGUUGGACUGGACAUCAGUGUUUUCACACAGUGAACUCCACAGUGGACACUCCUGCAGAGUCCCCUAGCCAGGGCCAAGGGGGUUUCUGCUUCCAGCCAUGGUGAAGUUGCGGAGAGCAGGGUUACCUUCUGCCUUAAACAACUAGAAAACCAGUUGAAAUAUACAAAACUGGGUUUGGGACAGUGGAAAGCAGGCAGCUCGGGACCAUGAUCUCUGUGAGAGACAAGAAGAAGACGUGCGUGAGCCCAGGAUUGGACUCCCGGGAGGCAGUUCCCAGGCUGCCUUGUGGGACGGGGACAGACACAAAGCUACCUUGGAUAUUCACUGAGAGCUGAGGUGGCUGGAAUUUGCGGUGAAGGGCCCUGGCGGGAAGGAAGUGGCACGGAGAGGGCCACGGACGUGUGCAGAGGGCCUGCUGGGCUCCGCUGACCUGUGUUUGACUGAAUACUGACCGUGCGAGCUACCCAAGGCCAGGGGUAGACACAGAAGGAGUGGACAGAAUACCUUCUGGGGCUCUCAGACAGCUGGAAGGAGUUCACGUUCCCACCAGCCAGACAAGAAGGGCCUCACGAUACUCAGAGCAGCAGGUGGAGGCCUGGAAAGGUGUCAGCUUAGUGAUGGGACUAAGCCUAAAACGAAGGCUGCUGUAGAGCUGCCGUCCUGAUUGCAUAGAAUUCGUCUAACGAGAUGAGGACAAGAGGUUAGGACCUGAAACCUGUUGGAUAAGCAGUGGGGAUUCCCCGGAGGAAGCUGGAAGGUGAGGCGGGAUAGAAGAAGGACCGGUGUUCCGGCAAAGAGGAAGGUGGCUGAGUUUGUGGAGCCAGGGGCCACCGGGCUUUGUGGAUACAGACUACCAUGCCUGCGGGAAUCUUGCCUCAAAAUGAAGAGCCAUACUCCACUUUGGUGAAUGACAGUCCAUAUGCUGCCAACAUGAAGGUGUCUUCACACGUGGUUGUUGAAACGGGUGAAGACUCAACCAAAUGGAAGUCUGAGCUUCGGUGGUGAAGUCUGCUCACCAGCCACCUCACCCCUGGGGGUUUGCUGAAGGAGAAACGUGGAAAUCAAAAGGUCCUGGGCCUGAAGUGUUUCUGUCUUGUUUGUAAAUAAAGUCGGGGGUGGUGGCCUGAAUGUCCGGCAGUGGAGACAGGAGUGGGUCAGUGGCGAUGCACCUGCGUGUGCAUCCCUGAGUGAGCGCCUGGGCGGGUGUGUAGAAGGGCAGGAAAUGGCUUGUGGUGUGCUUCCAGACUCACCCAAGGCCCCAUGCAGACAGCGGGAGGGGGGCUGUGAGGUCUCAGGGGACAGGCGGGAGAGGGGUCGUGCAGUCUCGGUGGGCAGGAGGGGGGCAAUGUGGUCUUGGGGGACAGG